RNAcentral lists this ribosomal RNA (484 nucleotides) under uncultured bacterium. RNAcentral describes it as "partial 16S ribosomal RNA". It matches the Rfam family "Bacterial small subunit ribosomal RNA", at positions 29 to 507 of the family's 1533-position model. The record is from RNAcentral.
AUUGAACGCUGGCGGCAGGCCUAACACAUGCAAGUCGAGCGGAUGAAGGGAGCUUGCUCCUGGAUUCAGCGGCGGACGGGUGAGUAAUGCCUAGGAAUCUGCCUGGUAGUGGUGGAUAACGUCCGGAAACGGGCGCUAAUACCGCAUACGUCCUGAGGGAGGUAGUGGGGGAUCUUCGGACCUCACGCUAUCAGAUGAGCCUAGGUCGGAUUAGCUAGUUGGUUGGGUAAAGGCCUACCAAGGCGACGAUCGGUAACUGGUCUGAGAGGAUGAUCAGUCACAUUGGAGGUGGGACAGGGACCAUACGACUACGGGACGGAGCAGUGUGGAACGGUAGACAAUGGGGGAGAACAUGGUACAGCGGGGGCGAGCGUGUGGCGACGGCCUCCGGAUUGGGAAGACGGCUAAGGUGUGGUGAAGGGCAGUCAGUUGAGACGUAGCGGUAUUGACGUUACCAGGAGAAGAAGCACCGGCUAACUACGUG